RNAcentral lists this long non-coding RNA (537 nucleotides) under Ficedula albicollis (Collared flycatcher). RNAcentral describes it as "lncRNA (ENSFALG00000027835.1)". The record is from RNAcentral. Lineage: Eukaryota; Metazoa; Chordata; Aves; Passeriformes; Muscicapidae.
CGAGCUUGGAUGGUGACAGGGAAUAAGGCUGGAUGGUGGCAGGGAGUGAGGCUGGAUGGUGACAGGAGUGAGGCUGGAUGGUGGCAGGGAUGGUGACAGGGAAUGAGGCUGGAUGGUGACAGGGAAUGAGGCUGGAUGGUGACAGGGAGUGAAGCUGGAUGGUGACAGGGAUGGUGGCAGGAGUGAGGCUGGAUGGUGACAGGGAUGGUGGCAGGAGUGAGGCUGGAUGGUGACAGGGAUGGUGGCAGGGAACGAGGCUGGAUGGUGGCAGGAGUGAAGCUGGAUGGUGGCAGGGAACGAGGCUGGAUGGUGGCAGCGGCCGGUCAUGCCCUUAAUCUGCGAAUUCGCUAAAGCUCUUUAAUAAAGAUUCAAAGUCACCAAGUUCUCAAUUAAGGGAUGAGGCAGCCCUUGAUCCGCGUUUCUGGGUCAGCCGGAGAAAGGCCAUUUAAGAGCCGGGCGAUUCCUUUGAUGUUUGCAGGGAAUGAACACCUGGCUGUGCAGGAGGCUCGGCCUCCUCCGGGGCAGCCCCGAGUCCAA